Molecule: ribosomal RNA, 401 nt
Filed under: uncultured bacterium
Lineage: Bacteria
Description: bacterial SSU rRNA
Rfam family: Bacterial small subunit ribosomal RNA
Source: RNAcentral
GUUUGAUCCUGGCUCAGAUUGAACGCUGGCGGCAUGCUUUACACAUGCAAGUCGAACGGCAGCGCGGGGGCAACCCUGGCGGCGAGUGGCGAACGGGUGAGUAAUGCAUCGGAACGUAUCCUGUAAUGGGGGAUAACGUAGCGAAAGUUACGCUAAUACCGCAUACGCUCGAGAGAGGAAAGUGGGGGAUCGCAAGACCUCACGUUAUAGGAGCGGCCGAUGUCCGAUUAGCUAUUUGGUGGGGUAAAGGCCUACCAAGGCGACGAUCGGUAGCUGGUCUGAGAGGAUGAUCAGCCACACUGGGACUGAGACACGGCCCAGACUCCUACGGGAGGCAGCAGUGGGGAAUUUUGGACAAUGGGCGAAAGCCUGAUCCAGCCAUGCCGCGUGCGGGAAGAAGG